Molecule: ribosomal RNA, 253 nt
Filed under: uncultured bacterium
Lineage: Bacteria
Description: partial 16S ribosomal RNA
Rfam family: Bacterial small subunit ribosomal RNA
Source: RNAcentral
UACGUAGGGUGCAAGCGUUGUCCGGAUUUAUUGGGCGUAAAGAGCUCGUAGGCGGUUUGUCGCGUCGGAUGUGAAAACCCAGGGCUCAACCCUGGGCCUGCAUUCGAUACGGGCAGACUAGAGUAUGGCAGGGGAGACUGGAAUUCCUGGUGUAGCGGUGAAAUGCGCAGAUAUCAGGAGGAACACCGGUGGCGAAGGCGGGUCUCUGGGCCAAAACUGACGCUGAGGAGCGAAAGCGUGGGGAGCAAACAGG